Long non-coding RNA from Papaver somniferum (opium poppy), 2470 nucleotides. RefSeq lists it as uncharacterized. The transcript has 8 exons. The record is from RefSeq and is a predicted model, not a curated record. Lineage: Eukaryota; Viridiplantae; Streptophyta; Magnoliopsida; Ranunculales; Papaveraceae.
GUGAGAUUAGCCCACGUAUCUCACUGUAUUGAAUGCCCACCCGAGUUAGUGUUUUUACUUCCCAUCAAUUCGAGAAACCGCUUCCAUUCCCACUCCAUGCAGAUCAAUCGAAUGCCGCAACAAAUAAUUUGUUUCUUCUUCGACAGAGAAAAAAACAAGAAAAUUUCUAUAAAAUCAUUCUCAUGAUAUAUAUACGGCUUGAAAUCGACUUAUAAAUUGUCUGAAGGAGGAAUUGAUCCUGUCAAAUCCAACUGCUAGAUCUAGAAGAUUGUUCAGCUUAUCUAAGAGAUUUUUUUCCGUUCUAAUGAUAGAUAAAUAGAUUUUUUUUCCGUUCUAAUGAUGCAUCCUUUCUAAUUGAUAGAUUUUGGAGUGAUAAGCAUCAACAAGGAAAUUCAAUACGGCUUCAGAAAAAAGAAGGAAACCCAGGUUGAGUUCUUAUGCCGCAAUCUUUACUUCUCCGAGAUAGCCUAAGGUAAAAGUGUUUGUUGAAUUGUCUGAUUGAGAAUUAUGGAUAUUCGUUUUUGUGAAUGGGUUUGCAUGAGUGAAAAAUUUGAGAUGAUAGUCCUGUUCAGCUGCAAAGAUGACCAGAAACAGAUAGUGGUGGAUUCUUUGAAACAUAGUGCAGGUAGACCUGUAGUAAAUAUGGUGGAUCCUUUGGGUUAUGGAUAUGAUGGAUAAAACGGUAAAUGUGCCUCAGGAGCAGAACCAUGGGUGCCUUGCAUCAACCAGCUUUGGAUGGCAGUGGCCCCUUCAGUAAAACAAUCCGUAGAAGUCCUAGGCUAAUUGUGCAAGCUCGAGUUCAAGAAACAAUACAUAUGCAGAUUUGAAUUGUUAACAGGUUUUGGAAGAUAAGCUUGAUUUAUCAAGGUGGUAAUUGAAGUAUAGGGCUUUUGGUCAAGAUGUAGAGUUUUCUUGGCUUGCUCGCAAUAUGCAGGCUAUACCCAACCAAAGAGGCCAAUGAUGAUGUUUAGAAGGUCUGCCUAACAGGAAUAUUGAUAACUAAUAUUAGUAAGGUAAUAAGUGUUAGAUACUUUUCCGGGGGGGAUUAUGUUAGUUCAAUUAUUUAGCCAGGUUUAUAUAUCUUUUUUUUUUCAACCUUUUUUUUUGCGUCUGUAUGUGCCUAAUCAGAAUCAUGGAAAGACCAAUCGAAAAUGAGAAUCUUAACACUUUGAAUAAUCUUAAUACCAUAAUCCUUGGGCUAAAAGUUCUGAAACUCUCUUGAAUGCGGAAGAUCGUUCGAAUGGGUUGUUAAUCGAUUCAAUUUUCCCCAAUUAAUGUUACAUAAUGUUACAUAGAAGCCUUUUUUCUCUAAUUGUGUAUAUGAUUUAUUCUCCCGCUACACUUUUCUUAAUGGGGAACCAGUGUUCUGAAAGCGUUACCUCUAACUUGCAUUAUCAUUUUUAGAUAAUCAAAUCUUUUUAUAUGUAGCCCAUUAUUACCAUGAAAUAAAAUUUUGGAUCGAUUUGUCCGAAGAGUUGGACAAGGUUUUUGUGAAUGUAAUUUCUCGAUUAAGUCUUUUAGGAAGGAUAUCAAGGUGGGAAAUCAUCACGGCACGCAGUAACAUCAGUCAUAUACUUGAGAAGUUGGGAUGAGGGCUUUGUGUCAUAGUAAUUAACCUUUGGUAAUGCGAAUGCCUCUUUUAUCAAUCCUGGAUUUCCUAAUUAUAUGAAGAGGAUGUAAGUUCUUUAUUAUUUAUUUUCCUUCAUUUACUAGGUUAUCACUAAUUUAGGUGAAAGAAACACUUUGCUGACAGUUUCCACUUGCAGGAUUGGGUGAAAGUAGUGGAUUGUUGUUUUUCGUUGAUGUAUAUGACUGAUGUUACUGCAUAUGCAUUGAAAUUCUUUUUGGCUUUGAAAAGAAUGUAACUGUUUUAGAAUUGGGCGAUUGAAAGGCCGGAAACAUAUAAGGAAUCACCAGAUAAUGUUCGAGUCAUAUGACAGGAAGAGGCUCUUGCACCUUUUUCAUGUUAUAUCAAACCUAAUCUCUGUGAUAUUGUUCACAAAUGGUGCAAUUUUAACAACCUGAAGGCUGAUGUGGAGUGGAUAAGUUUUGCACCUGACUUCCUGAGAAAACAGGAAGCACGCAGUUGAGGAUGCAUUACUAACUAUCUCCGGAGUCGAAAUUGGUUACCAGCUUCAAUGUAAAUAUACAGCGUAGCAAGGAUGGCGAUGUCAAGAAUUUACGAACAUUAAACCCAUACGUUAUUAGGUGAGCACAAAUGAAGCUCUGCAUUGGAUAAAACCUAAAUUUAAGACAUUGACAUUGUUUGAAGUUUUCGUGUUUUGUUGAGAAUUGUUGGGUUCUUAGCUUCCUUAUUAACCCGUUGGAUCAAUGAGAGUCUCUUAGAGAGUUUUAACUUUUUGGGGUAUCAUUUAGGUUGGAAUUUGAUUUUCUCUGAAUCGUUCGACCUUAAAGCUGAUGAAAUUCCUAUCAAAUUAGUACAUGCCAUAUUUUUUUGGUUCCUGUGUUA